Molecule: transfer RNA, 76 nt
Filed under: Burkholderia territorii
Lineage: Bacteria; Pseudomonadati; Pseudomonadota; Betaproteobacteria; Burkholderiales; Burkholderiaceae
Description: tRNA-Gly
Rfam family: tRNA
About the family: Transfer RNA (tRNA) molecules are approximately 80 nucleotides in length. Their secondary structure includes four short double-helical elements and three loops (D, anti-codon, and T loops). Further hydrogen bonds mediate the characteristic L-shaped molecular structure. tRNAs have two regions of fundamental functional importance: the anti-codon, which is responsible for specific mRNA codon recognition, and the 3' end, to which the tRNAs corresponding amino acid is attached (by aminoacyl-tRNA synthetases). tRNAs cope with the degeneracy of the genetic code in two manners: having more than one tRNA (with a specific anti-codon) for a particular amino acid; and 'wobble' base-pairing, i.e. permitting non-standard base-pairing at the 3rd anti-codon position.
Source: RNAcentral
GCGGAGGUAGCUCAGUUGGUAGAGCGCGACCUUGCCAAGGUCGAGGCCGCGGGUUCGAGGCCCGUUCUCCGCUCCA